GAUGAACGCUGGCGGCGUGCCUAAUACAUGCAAGUCGAGCGAACAGACGAGGAGCUUGCUCCUCUGACGUUAGCGGCGGACGGGUGAGUAACACGUGGAUAACCUACCUAUAAGACUGGGAUAACUUCGGGAAACCGGAGCUAGUAACGGAUAAUAUAUUGAACCGCAUGGUUCAAUAGUGAAAGACGGUUCUGCUGUCACUUAUAGAUGGAUCCGCGCCGCAUUAGCUAGUUGGUAAGGUAACGGCUUACCAAGGCAACGAUGCGUAGCCGACCUGAGAGGGUGAUCGGCCACACUGGAACUGAGACACGGUCCAGACUCCUACGGGAGGCAGCAGUAGGGAAUCUUCCGCAAUGGGCGAAAGCCUGACGGAGCAACGCCGCGUGAGUGAUGAAGGUCUUCGGAUCGUAAAACUCUGUUAUUAGGGAAGAACAAAUGUGUAAGUAACUAUGCACGUCUUGACGGUACCUAAUCAGAAAGCCACGGCUAACUACGUG
This 497-nucleotide ribosomal RNA is filed under the name uncultured bacterium. RNAcentral describes it as "partial 16S ribosomal RNA". It matches the Rfam family "Bacterial small subunit ribosomal RNA", at positions 28 to 507 of the family's 1533-position model. The record is from RNAcentral.